AUGGUUAGCCGCAACCAAAACGCUUUCAUCCCGGGACGGAGCCUGCACGACAACUUUGCCCUCGUCAAGCAAUCGAUGAAGCUGCUGCACCAACUAGGAGUCCUGAGAGUGAUGCUCAAGCUUGACCUAACGCGAGCCUUCGACUCCCUAUCUUGGCCCUUCCUCUUUGAGGUUCUUGGCGAGUACGGAUUCAGACCUCGCUUCAGGGAAUGGCUUGCGAUCUUGCUAUCAUCAUCGAGCACUCAAAUCAUGAUCAAUGGUGAGCCGGGACUGCCAAUUUGGCACAGCUGCGGGCUGCGUCAGGGCGACUCCGUAUCAUCGCAGCUCUUCGUGCUCGCCGUGGACAUCCUUGGGCGCCUGAUCAGCCGCGCCCACGACGCCGGCAUCCUAGAGCGGCUGCACCCCCGACGUGACAUUCCGGCCAUAUCUUUGUACGCCGAUGACGUGAUGCUCUUCUGCCAUACCACGCAAGGCGACGUGGAGGCCGUCCGUGGGAUCCUGAACCUGUUUAGUGAAGCAAGCGACCUCCGAGUGAACUAUACCACGAGUUCUGCUACUACCCUCAAUGGUGACCCCGAGGCGGAUGCUAUAAUUGCUCAGGUGGGAUGUGCGAAAGCGAAGCUGCCCAUUACUUAUCUCGGGAUCCCGCUCACGCUACGCUGCCUCUCUGCCGCCCAACUACAACCCCUCGUCGACUCGGUGGCCGCCCAGCUCCCCACUUGGAAAGCUUGGCUCAUGAACAAAACCGGGCGGCUGGUUUUGGUCAAAUCGGUGCUCGCCGCAAUCCCGAUACAUAAACUGCCCGCGUUUGCGCCACCCAAGAAGACCCUGAGGCAGCUCGAAAAGAUCCAGUGCGGCUUCUUGUGGGCUGGGCGCGCUGCUGCUAACGGCGGACACUGUCACGUCAACUGGCGCCGUGUGUGCCGUCCGCUUGAGUACGGCGGGCUGGGGGUCCAGGACCUGGAGCGCGCUGGCCUCGCGUUGCGCCUGCGCUGGCUGUGGUUCUCCCACACGGACGCCUACCGCGCAUGGCAUGGGCUCGACCUCCAAUUUUCCCGCGAGAAGCGCACGUUGUUCUUCGCAUCGACGACCAUGGCGCUUGGCGAUGGAUUGACGACACUGCUUUGGGAUGACAGAUGGCUCAACGGUCAGUCCGUGCGUGAACUCGCACCGACACUCUACCAGUGCAUACCCAAACGGCGACGCAAAUCAAGAACGGUGGCCGCAGGCCUUGCGUGCAACGCUUGGGCUCGUGACAUUCAAGGAGUGCUCGGGAUUCAUGAGAUUGGCCAAUACCUGAUGCUAUGGCAGGCCGUGCAGCAGAUCAGCUUAACACACAUGCCUGACCGAAUGAUAUGGAGAUGGACUGCAAGUGGCACCUACACGGCAUAG
This 1392-nucleotide ribosomal RNA is filed under the name Triticum aestivum (bread wheat). Its description in RNAcentral is "partial small subunit ribosomal RNA". The record is from RNAcentral. Lineage: Eukaryota; Viridiplantae; Streptophyta; Magnoliopsida; Poales; Poaceae.